This 253-nucleotide ribosomal RNA is filed under the name uncultured bacterium. Its description in RNAcentral is "partial 16S ribosomal RNA". It matches the Rfam family "Bacterial small subunit ribosomal RNA", at positions 524 to 776 of the family's 1533-position model. The record is from RNAcentral.
AACGUAGGAGGCAAGCGUUAUCCGGAUUUACUGGGCGUAAAGCGUGUGCAGGCGGUUGUCCAAGUCGUGUAUGAAAGCGCUCCGCUUAACGGGGCGAGGCUAGACGAGACUGGGCGACUAGAAUCAGACAGAGGCAAGCGGAAUUCCGGGUGUAGUGGUGAAAUGCGUAGAUAUCAAGUGGAACACCAGUGGCGAAGGCGAGUCCCUGGACAACACCUGACACUGAGGCACGAAAGCUAGGGGAGCAAACAGG